Molecule: ribosomal RNA, 425 nt
Filed under: uncultured bacterium
Lineage: Bacteria
Description: bacterial SSU rRNA
Rfam family: Bacterial small subunit ribosomal RNA
Source: RNAcentral
UAAGGAAUAUUGGACAAUGGGCGGAAGCCUGAUCCAGCCAUGCCGCGUGAAGGAUGAAGGCGCUCAGCGUUGUAAACUUCUUUUGAAUGGGAACAAUAAUCUCGUCGUGCACGAGACUUGAGGGUACCAUUAGAAUAAGCACCGGCUAACUCCGUGCCAGCAGCCGCGGUAAUACGGAGGGUGCAAGCGUUAUCCGGAAUCACUGGGUUUAAAGGGUGCGUAGGCGGUGAGAUAAGUCAGUCGUGAAAUCUCUUGGCUUAACCAAUGAAAUUGCGAUUGAUACUGUUUCACUUGAAAGAGGUUGAGGUCAGCGGAAUGUGGCAUGUAGCGGUGAAAUGCAUAGAUAUGCCAUAGAACACCGAUUGCGAAGGCAGCUGGCUGGGCCUACGUUGACGCUGAGGCACGAAAGCGUGGGGAGCAAACAG